RNAcentral lists this long non-coding RNA (211 nucleotides) under Fukomys damarensis (Damara mole-rat). Its description in RNAcentral is "lncRNA (ENSFDAG00000033373.1)". The record is from RNAcentral. Lineage: Eukaryota; Metazoa; Chordata; Mammalia; Rodentia; Bathyergidae.
AGGCCGGUAGACAUCAGAAGAAAUCACAAGUCUGAGUGGCUGUGCUGCAGGACACAGUUCCGUUCUGAGUGUGGGAGGACGGCUCCGAGUAGCCCUCGCACAGUGGGGCGUGGGGGAAGGCAGCCUCCCUGAAGCUUGCGCUCCUGUCCGCUGGACCUGAGACUCGGCAGGAAGGUGAGAAUGUGCUCCCCAGGCCCCUCCAUGCCCGCAC